CCCUUUAAAUUUUUUUUGGGCCCUAAGCUAUAGCUUGUUUAGUUUAUACGUAAAUCGGCACUGGGCGCCCCCCCUCCAAGUUUAUUGGCAUUGCCAUUCAAACGGUGAUCAGAAUGUGAUCGAUUAUGCGGGGCGGGGCUUACCUGCCCCCCCUCCAAUAUUUCAUUCAAGUUGGCAGGCGCCCCUGCCGACCUCUUUGGGAACCCAGAGAAGGCUGGCUUGGCCGAGCGCGCCUUUCGCGCACACGUGUGUGUGUGUGCGCAGAGCGGCGCUCGCUUGCGGAAUUCGCCAGGGCUUGAAAGGGCCCUCGGUUUACAAUGCUAACUUCCUGUUCCAGCCCGGCUGCCAACAUGACCGCAGGCAGGUUCACCCAGAGAGUGUCCGGCGGCGGCAACAGCAGCAGCAGCAGCAGCAGCAGCCGCGCUUCUUGGCCGAGAGGAGAUCCCGCCCCGCUGCCGCCUCGGAUUGCUGGCGGGCGAAUAAAAACGACCCGGGAAUCCAGACGCUCUUCCAGGUAGACGAGGCUUUAUUUAGAGACUCUUUCCCCCUCCUCUGCUCCUUUCUUUCUUGGCCGCCGCGCGGUUUCCAAACCCAGCCGGGGCGUGGCGUGGUGUCCUUCGCCUGGGUAAAUAUUUGAGCGCUCGCAGCCAAGGAGGAGGAGAGCCGCUCCGCGAGGCACAUGGCGCGGAGACACCGGCGGGAAAGGGCUGCCAGGGAAGCCGCCGCCUCCGCUGCCGCCGCACCCUUUGUGCUCCGGAGUGAAGCCCCUUCGCUUGUUGCAGCACCCUUUACUGUUUGGGCGGGAAACUUCCCCUUCAGGCUGGGAAGAAGGGUGGGCAGAGUUGAGAGGGGGACCUGCCUGAGGAAGAAUUCAGACGAGAAAGGAAGCGGUGUGUUGUGUUUUGUUGACAGUCGUCGUCUUCUUCUUCGUUUUAAAGUUUUUUAUGUGUGUUACAAAACAAACAGAUAAAGGGGGAAAGGUACAUCUCUUGUCUCCACUUUCAACCUGUCGUCCUUUCCAGUUUGUUUGCAUUUAGUGAGAGACACUUUUUGUCAUGGACAUCUUGCACUGGGGUAGGAAAAGGGGUGUUGGGGGUCUUCUUGAAUUUAGGGUGCAGGGGUUGUGUGUUUGUGUGCCAGGUGGGCUUAGUUGCCCCCUGACAAGAGUAUAGGUACUUAAUUAAUAAUAUAAUGAUACAGUGAUAUCUUGGUUCUCAAACACCUUGGUACUCAAACAACUUGGAACCCAAACACUGCAAACCCAGAAGUAAGUGUUCUGGUUUGCAAACAUUUUUUGAAAGCUGAACAUGCUCCGUUUUGAGUGUUAUGUUUCCGUUUUGAGUGCCACGCUGAGGUGUGUCUGUUUUUGCUAUUUAUUUUGCAUUUUUGUUUUUGCGGCUUUUUUUGUUUUGUUUUCGUGACUGUAUGGAACCCACUUCAGCUACUGAUGGAUUGAUUGAUUGUGUGACUUCAGUACAUUGAUUAUUGCUUUCAUUUUAUGGAUCAAUGGUCUCGUUAGAUGGUAAAGUUCAUGUUAAAUUGCUGUUUUAGGGGUUGUUUUUAAAAGUCUGGAACGGAUUAAUCCGUGUUACAUUACUUUCUAUGGGAAAGCAUGCUUUGGUUUUGAAACGCUUUGGUUUUGGAACGGACUUCCGGAACAGAUUAAGUUUGAGAACAGGUUAAAGUUAAUGAUAGACUAAGAUUAAAGAUUAAGAUUAAAGAUGUUUAAAGAAAUGGAAAUUUGAUAUUAAGAGGGAAAAUUUUAACGUUAUAUGAUACUGAGACCAAGGAUUAGGUUUAAAGAAGUUGAAGUUAUAUAUUUUAAUAUUUUAUCAAAUUAAAGAUUGGGAUUAAAAAAGUGGAAAAGAAACUGCUGGACAAACAAUUUGGAUUGGAAUACAAAAGAGGGAGGUAUGAGGAAGUCCAGAAAAUAAGUAACUUAAAAAUGGAAAUGGAAAAGAGAUAUUGUUUUUAAUUGUUAUGUUUUUUGUUUUUUUAUUGUUGAAUUUUGUGUUGUUUUUUGUGUGUGUUGUUGUUAUAUGUAUUGCGUAUGUUUUUUUCUCUUUCUUUGUUGUUUAAAACCUUAAUAAAAAUUAUUUAAAAAAAAAAAGAAACAGAUGGGGGGGUCCCCAAAGUUGCAAAGAGGAAAAAAAACAAAAAAAAACAAAGUACCACUGUAAUUUAUUAUUUAUAUGACGCCCAACAAAAAAUGGUAAAAGCACACAAUGCAGCAUCACAUACUAAAAACUUCCCCGAACAGAGCAGCCUAUAAAAAAAAUCACAUCACUGUUUAUCUGUUUGACGUCAUCUGCUGGGAAGGUGUUCCACAGGGUGGGUGCCGCUACCAAAAAGACCCUCUGCCUGGUUCCCUGUAACCUCACAUCUCGCAAUGAGGAAGGCCUUUGGAGCUGAACCUCAGUGUCCAGGCCGCAUGAUGGAGGUGGAGACAAUCGUUUAGGCCAACUCCUGCCUUUGGUUACCAUUAGGCUUCUGUUUCCAGAGCCUGUUGCUUGAGAAGAAUAACCCUUUGUGUAGAACGUAACAGCUCUAUACAGUACUAGACAACUAGAUAUGUACUGUACUAUAUACUAUAUCUAUACUAGAUAUAUUAGAUAAAGGAAUUAUUAUUAUUAUUUGUUGUUAUUAUUUGUGGAAUUCAGAACUAUCCCACCAGCGUCCCAUUCCCAUUGUGCUGUUCUGUAGUGUUCUCCCAAGUCAGUUUCCUGGGGUGCAGGAUGUUGGGCUAAACAUCUUUCAGAGCUAGUUGACUAAUAUUUGAAAAUACUGAUAAACUCUUUUAACUGUGACUUCACUUUUUGUGUUGUACAGAAGGAUGACAUUCCCCAGUUACUUGUGCAGCACACAUGCACUCAAUAGCAAACUCAAUUGAGUUUAAUGGGACUUACUCCCAGGGAAGUAUGUGUAGGAUCGCAACCUUACUGAAUCAAUUCAAUUUUUCUGAGCAUCUGGGUAUAGUUGUUCUCUUCCUAUUGUGCCUCAGUUCUGGUCCCGACUAUCUUAAAUUUAAGGGACAAAUUGCAGCUGUGUGACAGAGCCUAGGCAAACAGUAGAAGUCUGUGAUAUGCAAUAGGACUUUACACUGUCAGAUGGAGGUGUUUUAAAUGCUAUUAUCCAAACAGUGUUCUCGCUCAUCUGAAAUACUGUAUGUACUCAGGCGGCUCAUCUCAAAAAGGGUAUCGUCAAAUUGGAGAGUGUUCAAAGGAGAACCGCAAAAAAUGAUUAAGGACUGAGAGGAGCUCUCCUGCAAAGAGAGAGAUUUGAAAGAUCUGGUUUGUUUAUUUUAAAGAUGAGACAAUUUAAAGUGGCAAGGCUAAAGGUCUGUAAAAUAAUGAAUGGUAUCAAGAAGGCAGAUCAGGAACUAUUGCUGUUUCUGUUUUGCAGGAUGAGUGUGAUAUUGAAAUGCGAAGAUUGCAAAGUCCUAGCAAAGAAAAGGCUUUUCACAGUUAGGGAUAAUUUAGCCUGUGGAACACUCUAACACUGGAUAUUGCAAAUGUUACAAAAAUGGACUAAAUGCUUCUAAAGAGUAUUGUUUGCAAACCCAGCUGUCUUAAUAAGUGAAGGAUGGUUCAGCACCACAUGCCUGUCAGUUUCAAGAUAUCAUAUUCAUCUCCGAUCCAAUAGCUAAUACUCUUGACGUAGCAUCCAUGCAAUAAUAAUGCUCUGACAGUUCAUUGAUCCAAGAGGUACAUAGCCUAGCAGCACCUUAUAGGGAUGAGUGGAAUGUAUGGUGCUGCUGUGUCAUAUAUUCGCUAGGCACUUUGAUGACAUAAUCACUUGCCUUCAUGCUGAUCUUCAAUCCAGUCUCUGGUAAGGUAUCCAGCACCCUGUCUUAUUCACUUCUGUGGAAUGAGUUUCAUUUAUUGAGGCCUGAAGGUGUGGACAAGGUGCUUUUGGCUGUCCAUGUCUUACUUGCGCUCUCCUGCCCAUCCUGGCUCGUUCGUGCAAGUUGUGGGUGGGAGAGUGGACUGGCUGAAUCUAAGAGGAGGUUAAUGCAUUCUUGCAUGAGAAGAAGAAGAGAAGAGUUUGGAUUUGAUAUCUUGUUUUAUCACUACCCUAAGGAGUCUCAAAGCGGCUAACAAUCUCCUUUCCCUUCCUCCCCCACAACAAACACUCUGUGAGGUGAGUGAGGCUGAGAGACUUCAGAGAAGUGUGACUAGCCCAAGGACACCCAGCAGCAGCAUGUGGAGGAGCGGGGAAUCAAACUCGGUUCACCAGAUUAUGAGUCCAGUGCUCUUAACCACUACACCACACUGGCUCUCACCAGUGAGAGGGUGGUCACCAUUGCUUUGUUGGAGGUGUGCAUCUCUUCCUGGAAAAACCUAUCCUGAACGCUGGGGUAUUUGACAACUGUUGCCUGAUUGCUAAUACCCACUUUUUUGGGAAGGUUGUGACACUUUUGGAGUUAACAUAAUUUGGACCAAUUCCAGUCUGGGUUCACGUAUAGCUUUGGCACAGAAUCGGCUCUGGUUGCCCUCUUCAAUGGGGCAACAGGGAGAGUGUGAAUCUGUUGCUCCUGUUGGACCUCUCAGUGGCUUUUGAUACCAUGACCAUGGUAUUCUCCUGGACUGUCUCCAUGGGCUGUGAGUUGGAGGUGCUGUUUUAUGGUGGUUCUGCUCCUACCUGCAUGGCCAGUCUCAGAGGAUAGCAUUGGAGGACUAUGUGUCCAGAUUCUGGCAGGGUAUCCCUAGUGGUAUAUGAAGCCAUUAGGAGCAGUCACCAGGAGAUUUGUGGCAUGGUGUCAUCAGUAUGCUGAUGACACCCAACUCUUAUCUCCCAAUUAAUUCCAAGCCUUGCAGAAGCUGAACCCAGGGCUAGAUUCUGUGGUGGGCUGGAUGAGGGCCUGAAGCUGAAUCCUGUUAAGACAGAGACACUGUGGGUGAGUGGUUUCCAGGUCUGAAGAGCACCUGUCACCCAAUAUUUUCAGGAAUAACUUGGCCACUGUGACUCAUAUAUUGGUAGCCUCACAUUUAGACUAUUGUAAUGCACUUAGUGUAGAGCUUCCCUUAUGGGUGGUCCAGAGGAUGCAGCUGAUGCAGAAUGCUGCAACCCAAGUGGUCAGUGGUGCUUUGCAUCAAGCACUCCAGUGCUAAGGGGUCUGCACUGUCUGACUGUUAUUACCAAGCCAGUUUUAAGGUCCUGCUACUUACUUUACAGAGCUGUAAAGACUUAUGGACUAGGAUAUUUGAAAGACCGCCUUCCCCUCCAUUGCCUGAUAAAGGCAUUCAGAUUGACAAAUGAAACCCAGUUAGAGUUGCAGUAGUACUAUUAUUAUAUAUUAUUACUAUUAAUAUAUAUUAUAUAUUAUUAUUACUAGUACUACUAGUAUUAUAAUGGUCGGUGGUAACAUAGAGAUGGGCUUUUUGAGGGGUGGUUGCCAGUGUUGGGAAAUUCUCUCCCUGUUGAAAUACGAGAGGCCCCAUCAAUAUUGGCAUUCUGCUGGCUCUAGAAGGCAUUCCUCUGAUUUCCUGACCUGAACCUCCUGCUUUCAUUGUUUUAAUUGCUAUUUUAACUUUGAAUUGUUGUGCUCUUUUAUUGGGCUUUUAUUGUACUUUUUAACCGUGGAUGUUAUUUUAACGAUGGAAUCGUUUUAUAAUGCAUUUUAAUUAUGUGUGUUGUUUGUAAUUGGUUUUAUACUUGUAAACCACUUAGGAGCCACUUUGGCAAUUAAGCAACAUAUUAAUUAAUUAAUCAAUCAUAAUAAUAUAUAUUGAUUCAGCCAAACUCUGUACAUUAAAGACAUGGGCAAGGAUAUUGUGUAAGUGAAGCAUCAGUCUUUUGUUGGAUUCUGACAAUCUUUACUUGCCCUGUAACUGGAGACAAGCUACCAAGUGCAAGCCACAAAUCUGUUAGUAAGCACCUUCCUUUUACAGAGGAUGUCUUGCAUCCUCAUCAUGCUGAGGAAGUUGAUUAUGUGUCAUGCAAGCUAGGAGAAUAGCUUCCUAUAUAUGAUGCUUUUGUACUAUGCCAGCAGCAUAGGAAGUAUUUCCCUACAACUCUUUGAGUUUCCACAUUGCAUGAAGUUUUGUGCAUUGUUUCCAUGCUUGAUAUGACAUCUUCCACUUACACCAAUGUGCUCAGGGUACUACAGUGAAUUGGCACAGGGACUAAAAUGACAGGCAGGUGCUUUGCAUAGAUCACGCACACUGAAUCAGCAGGUCUAAAUCCCAACAGCAAACUUUUGUAGGCAUGCCAUUAUAAUCCUAUUCGUACAGGUAGCUAACAAAAAGUGAGACACUUGGUGUGAGCCCAUGCUAUAAUAUUAUGGGAAUUUGAUCAAUGCCUUUCUCCCUAGGCUUAAGAUUGCCUGGUCAUUAAUGGGAGGCAAUGCAACUAAUGUGCAAUUUGGCUGCUAUAGUGUAAAGUCAGCUUGGAAAGUACCUUGAGUCACAGCCAUCUGGAACCAGAUUUGCUAAGCAUUUUCAAAGGAGGAAUAUUUGGGAGAGGGACACGUUCCAAAGUUGCUGAUGGUGCUUUGCGACGAGCACUGCCUGCUUAGAUGCAUUUUGCUGUAUCCUUUAAUUCCUGUUCAAUCUGCAUAUCUGUAAGUAAAGAGACCACUACAAACACAUACAUGUUCAGUGUACCCCUCUCCAAAGGAAACACCUUAGUAAAGGAUGCCCUGAACUUUUCACAACUCCAAAUAAUAUCCUGAGGUUGCUACCCGGUAGAUCUAUGGCUCAGCUUCUAUUUGAAUCUCUGCUUUCCCAGUUCUAGUCUGUCAGACAGUCUAUUGAACCCAAAUGCAAUCCUUUGCAACGAAAGCCUGUUUCUGAAUCAGGUGGAACUUGGCAACAGAACCCUCCGACAUGAACAUCAGUGGAACGGUCACUUUCAGAAAAAGGUACCCUGAAAAGAAAUCCGGUCAACCACAGAUAGGUGUGCUGACGUCUUGUUUUGGCUGCAUCAAUUCUCCACGGUGCACGCCGAGUGCCGUUCCUCCUAGCAAAACGAUCUGUGCAAGUGGAGCAGAGAUUUACAGCGGCUGACAACCGGCCCCUUCCACUCCUACUUGUAACACAGUGUUCCCAUCGAUCCUUCCCCAGACACUGACACUCUCAAAAUGGAAUGAGCGGCUUGUUCCCAUUGGCAGUGGGGAAGGAUUCUUCAAUAUUCCGCUGAGCAACAAGACAGCAGCAAGCAACAGUAGCAGCAGCAGCCAACCGCAGCAGCAGCAGCAGCAGCAGUCUCCGGCCCUCUGCAGCAGCCCAGCCCGUGUGCCAACACCACAUCACAAGCUCCACAAUCCACCACGCCCCUCAGCAGCCACCACAAUUGCUGUGACAUCCAAACUGCCUCCAGCCAUGGCAACAUGCCACCUGCUAUAGCAUCUCUUACUUGCUGUUACGCCUCACUGUGACUUUCACCACCACACCACACCACACGCUGCAGAAACCCAUUGCCGCCACACAGGCAGAACAGUAGCAUGUUUCAGAAGAAAGAAGAGUCUGGCUGGGACUCAUUCAUCUAUGGGAACGUAAUUUUAGAAAAUGAAAUUGUAUCAAUUUUUAAUCUUGGAGACUGAGGAAGGGGCGAGAGAGAAUCCAGUGCUGCCAGCUUCAGUGGUUUUUUGGAGUUUUUUUUUAAACCCAUAACAAAUCACAAGCCAAAUGCUUAGACCAGCUGAAAAGAUCUUUCAUUCCCCUCCCCCUCCAGAAAAUUGUAUUCUUUGGACUGCAAGCUGUAAUCUUUUUAAUUUUUAGAAUGCACAAUGAAAGCUUUAGCUGAUUAAUUAGUGGGGGCAAUUUUGAUCAGUAGGCUUAAAUAUAUAUAUAUAUAUAUAUAUAUAUAUAUAUAUAUAUAUAUACUAUAUAUGUGCUUUGGCUCUGAUAUGAUAUGAUGCCAUAGCAGGGACAAUAUUAGCUGAGGCCUUCUAACAGUAAAUGAUAGAUUUCUUUAUUAAACUAUAAGUUAUAUUUUGCUCCCUCCUGUAUUUCAGAAAGGGUACCCAUAUUGAGGUUUAGGAACUUACAUAUUUAUUUAAAUUUAUUUAAAUACGAAUUAAGUAAGAAUUACUACCAGGUAAAGUAUGCAUAGAAUUUGUUUAGGAAUCACUUCCCAUAAAACAUAAACGAUUUAACAAUAAAAACACAUAUAAAAAUUAUUUCAAUUUUGGCACAGACACAGAUUGAGAAAAGCAAAAAAUCCACUUAAAGGACUUGUUGGAAAAGGAAGGUCAAAUAAAUAACUUCCUGGACAUAUAGGUUGUCCAUCAAAACGGAGCUCAAAGCUGUUUCUAAAUGUUAAAUAAACAAUCAGUAAAGCACAGUUAAAUAAUAAUACUUAAAACAACUAAAAUUUAUACAAACCUCAACAAACAAUGAAAUGAAGUGCUGGCAAUUCAUAAUGAUUGAUUAAUUGGUGAAUGGUUAAUUUAUUGGUUGAUUAAAUAAAAGGAAGAUUGUUAAUCAACUUUAAACUCCUUUAAUUUGGUGACAGCAAUAAGCAUUUUGUACUGGUUUAUUGCAAAAAUUCACAGCCUCUUCUGCGCUAAUGGGAGGAGGGACUCAAGUCUAACUGGAAGUUGUGCAGCCAUCUGACCUGGGAGCUCAGUGAUCCCUGAUCCCUGCUGUGGAAGGCUUGCUUCAGUUACUGAGGGGGAUGAAGCAAAUGCACUCUCCCCAUGCUCAGUGGCACUCUUAAUAUUCACUUGGGAAACAUGUUUUAAAGCCUGUUGACAUUGGAAAUCUGGCAUUGGAAAACACAUAGAUAUAAAGCAAUUCAGGCUGCAGUAUGAGGCUUUGUGCUUCAAGCCCUGAUCAUGAGAGACAUAUGGCUGCUUAAUUUCUUUGACAAACAGAACUCAGUCCAUUUGGAUUCAAAUCUGCAAGCAUCCAGGAAGACGAGGAAGAAGCUCUGGCAAGCCCUUAUGUUUUGUUCAACUCUUGCAAGGCCAUAGUUGCAAGGCCAAAACUAUUGCUCUUGAGAUCUCUGGGGAAAGGCCAAGGUAGUAAGAAUGCACUGGCCUAAGGGGACACAAAAUGUAAAAAAAAAAAAAAGGAUAGGAGAAGAAGGUGGGUCAUCCCAAAGUGUGGGGGCCAGUGCAGCCACCCCUAUUCACCACCCCACAACUCUGCAGGGACAACUCUGAUAUUGGCCACCAAAAACAUGGGUUCUUAUCACUCUCAUUCCUAGCCCAAUCAAGACACAUUCUCUUAUUUAUUGUAUAUGUUUUUGACUGUAGUUCUGUAUACCACUUAGAUAUUUUUAGAUGUGGACACAUUCUAAUAUUAUAGAGCUUUGCUACAGUCAAAGGGAGUAGCAGUGCUGGUGUGUUGCCACAUUCAGUUUUAAAUUUUAAAGGGUGGGAAGAUGUGAGGUUGCCUCGUACAGAGUCAGACCAUAGGUUCCAUCUAAUUCAAUAUUGUCAAUGAAAUGGCUGACAAUGGCACUGUGGGGUUUUGGGUAGGGAGACACUACCUGGAGAUGCUGUGAAGUGAAGAAUGUGCUCUAUCCACUGAGCUUCAGCUGUUCCCAAGGAUGCAUGAGUGCUCCUGUGAUUGAGCUGCAGAGUGGGGUGUGGGAUUAAACACCCACCCACCAAUAAAAAAUACAAUAAAACAUAAAAUACUGACAAAUUGUGAGCAUUGGGGAAUCUGUCUUGCUUGUUGCACUUGUUGAACCUCACUCUGCACAACAUAAACUGCUACGAUUAAUGUGUGUUUUGUGGUAGGCGGGAAGACCAUUGCAUCUUCCCAGCUACCAAGUAUUGUAAGUGAAUGCUAGGGAAGUGCAGGUUGCCUGCUGCAGAAGUGCUCGCUUGAGGGAAGAUGGUUUGGAUUCCAUGCAAUGAACUGACUAACCAUGGUGGAAAGGGCUGCGUGCUAAACACUGCUUGGAAAGACCUUCUCAGAGAGCAUCCAAGGUUGUUGCCCAAAUGAGCUUGGUGCAGAAUGUUUUUGUAUCCGAAUGUUUCGGUCAUGGUUUGCCGCUUCUAAGCUGAAGUCACCCCAUAGGGCUUGCCAACAAGGCAAAUGUGAGCCUUCUUUCCUCAUGGUUUCAGGCCUCAGACCAUAGCUGUCAACCUUCCCUUUUUUGGUGGGAAAUUCCCUUAUUCUAGCACCGUUUCCCGCUGCUUCCUGCUGCUAUCCCGGAUUGUUAGAUAUCCCGUAGACUGUCCCCGGGACAGGUGAGGCUGCUGAUCCCUUAUUUUUGAGGCUGCUGAUCCCUUAUUUUCAAAUCUGAAAGUUGACAGCUAUGCCUCAGACCCAUGGCUCAGCCUUCGGCAUCUGGAUGCCAUCAGAAGCAUGGAAGAGGCAGAGUCAAGAAAUUGGGAGGACAGGGGCUUAGAUUGCUGGAGCAAGCUGCCCAAACCAAACCUUGACAGCAGUCAAACAACCAGGGUGUUUUCCCCACCAGCCUGAAGUCAAUUCUGGCACCUCUCAGGUGGGCGCCAUUGCCAUUCUAAGAGAACAAGGGAGGUGUUCAUGGUGAGUUCUUUUUGCUGCCACUCUUUCCCUUAUUUUGCUUACAAAAAUAGCACUGCAAACAACCAAGGCCCAAUCCUAAUAGGGGAACUAGCCAACCAGGCUCUUCUGGUACUGUCUUAUGUUAGUUGUUAGCUUAUCAGAGCUGUGACAUCUCUCUCAGUCUCCAAUUCUGCUGAGCCGAUUUCUGACACUCUCUCUGUUACAGCCUGCAAACACGCAAGAUGGGUGCCUAUGAGAGAGACAACUCCCUCAUAAAAGGUGGCAUAUACUUCAGCUUCAUCACUAGGCAGCGUUGGAAAGCUGAGGAUGGGGAGGGGGAACAGGAUAAAGGAGAGCUGGGUUCUCCUGUUAGUCAGCACUCUAUAAACAACACAAAUGAGCCUACACGAUAGAGGAAAAGCCCAGCUCCACAACUGAUCGCUUCUUCCCCUGGUAGCCACAGAGAAACUGACAACAGGGAGGCCCUGUUGCUGGAGAGAAGAGAAAGCAGCCCAAUGGCUGACCUCAAAGUCUGACACCCACACCCCUUGUCUUGGGGGGGGGGUUAAGUCCAUGACAAUCUUCUGACAUGUUUGACAAUGAAAGGCAGCCCUUGCCAGGUCAACCCCGAAGGAGGCGACCUGUGACCCAGCAUGCGGUUGCAUCUCAUUAAAAACAUAUAUUUCCAUUUCUGUAUCGACGGGCUCACAAGGUGUCAUUAAGGAAAUAUUGCAGCCCUAGGGCCAUGGCGUCAGCUAGCAGUUGCCAGCGCAUCGGUGCAGACUGUCGAGUAAACACAGCAGUGAUGGUGCAGGGACAAAGUCUCUGGGCUUGCAAGGACCAGCGGCUGCUCCAGAUUGGUUCAGCAGGCACAGGAUGGACAGGAGGGAGAGAUUUGCUAGAAGAACCCGAUGAAAGAUUACACUUUGUUUGGUGCAAGAGGCCUGUUUAAUCAAUUCCAGAGGACUUGGCGGCUGGCAGCAGAGCUGCUUACCUGGCCAGAGGAAAGAUCAGCAUUUGGCAAGGUCAAAUAAUGGUCAAGCUCUCUUAGCUCUUGAUAGAGGAAAGCAAUGUCUCUUAGUGAAGCCCGAUGCUAUCCGUAGGUAGUUUUUAAAACUGCCUUCCUCUAUGUGGUCACCCCCAUAUGUUUUGGUCUUCAACUCCCACCAGUGCCAACCAGGUUGGAGAAGGCUAUCUCAAAUUACGGCAGAUGUUCUCUCUUAGUCACCUCACCCAUUGGCUUGAUUUGUAUUGAUUUGUCACUGCUGCGAUCCCUGAACCUUCCCAAUUUCCACUGCUAGGCCCAUCCCACGUGGUCCUCCAAGGUUGCUCAGUUCAUCAUCUGUCUUGAAGCAUUUUGUUCUAAACCAGUGCAUUAUUUGCUGCAGUUGCAAUUGCCUGUCUAGAAAGAGGAAUAGUACUUCUCCUUCUUCUAUGCUUGCGAAUCCGACAUGAGCUUCAAAGAGCAUUUGCCCCUUUUAAACCAAUCCAAAUGUUGUGAGUGCUCCAAAACCUUAUGAAUCCAACUAAGAAAAGAAUGUACUCCACAGCCAGAUAAUGAAAUCUAAUUGCUAUAAAAGUCCUAGCUUUAUGCUACCGUUAACACAUUCUUUGAGACCAAUUAUGUUUCUGUCCUAUGGUGUCAACCUUUUACGCUACUUUUUAAUGUCUUGGACUUGAAGCACCAUUCCCAACAAUUGACCCUCUCCUGUUAUUUGGAAUCCAAUAUUAAUUUGGAAAAUUCUCUCUCUCCACCACCCCGGAAUCUUUUCCUCCAGUUGACACAAUUUUUUUGGCAAAGGGAGACAUUGGGAUUGAGGUUCCCCUAUACACAUAGUUUAGUCCUUUGUGCUCUUAACAUUGAAGCAAGUGGAAUAUAUGACUCCAAGAGGAAGUCCUCUUUCUGCCCCAAGAGCAGCCUUGAGUGAUGUGAAUCAAGGGGCUGGAUUUCUAUCAGCAAGAACUGUUUCCUCCUCCUGCAAUUAAAAUCACUUGAAUUUGGCCUUCAGGAAUAUAGAGGAAGGGGAAAUCCUGUCUUAGGAGUUAGCAAGUGAAGCAACAGACAGCCUAGAUGAGAGGCUUUGUAAUCUGUGGCUGGAAACAAAUUUUGGCUCUGGGCAAAUUGGAUAACUUUGGAAUUGAAUUAGACACUCUUACCAGGUGCUCAGAAUCAAAUGAAGAGAAGGCAAGUGGUUUCUUUCCCUUACGAAUAGCCUUUUCGUUCCUGAGUUCUUCACCAUGGAAUCUGCUUAUCAGGAGACUUAGGACUCAGCUACAUUAGUCAAAAAAAUAGUGUUUUGAAUAUGUUAUAAACAUGCAACACCAGAUGGUACUGUAGAGCAGAAAACUUUUCUAUGCAAUUUUACAUAGCGUUCCCCCCCUUUCUUUAUAACAAUUUAAUUUCUUGAUUAUUUUUAGCAUUGUUUUUCCCUCUGUGUGUAGAUCCACCCUGAGUCUUCCUGUCCUUGAUAAAGGCAUCUCUCAACUAUAUUUUACAGACUGUUUUCUUUGGCAGGGGGAGGGGAGCAAAUAACACUGAACUCCUAAGAAUGUAUAGAUAAUAUAUUUUACUGGUUGGUUUUCAAAUCUCUGUGAGAUAUACAUUGUCCUUGUUUUCACAUAACGGUAAAUAGUGGUUUAUUAAACUAUGGUUUAUUAAACCAUGGCUAGGUGUUAUGACUGAACCCUGCCCAGUAACUUAGAUAUGUUUUGUUCACUGCCAACAAACCAUGAUCUAAAGCCAUGGUUUGUUGCUGUCUUGUGAAUCUUGGUUUGUUUUAAAUAUGGCUUGGUGUUACAUACAAAUCCAACAGCCUUCCUUAACCAUGGUUUGUUUGGCCAACCCACCCCAGACUUUCAUCGUGCUUCAAAGACAUGAAACAAGAGCAGCUGGGAAACAAAUCAAACUUUGGAGAACCAAGCCAUGGUUUGUCUAAUCAACUGUGUGACAAUUUGGGGUUAACUGGUCCUCUCCCUGCCCCUGUAAUAAAAGCUUGAGAAGCUAGUGGGGCCAUGCCAGGAACACCUUCAGCUGCUUUAUUUCUGCAUAUAGGGAACAGGACCCAAAAGGUGAUUAUCCUAUAUCUUACAUCCUAAACUGAACAUGUCUUGACUCAACAUUGGGACUUGAAGGUUUCUAUUUUCUUUUUAACUGAGAGUCUUGAAUUAAUAUUGUGAUUUUAAAGAACUGUAGGAUUCGUUCCCAAGGGGUGGCAGCAUUAAAACCAUGUGCUUCUCCUCCAGUAUAGUGUUCCUUGAAUCCAGUAGCAAGGAAGCAAAAAAUAAAAAUUGCCCCCUCCUGCCCACUCUCUUUUUUUGCUAGCACUGCUGGGUUUGUGCAUUUAUUUCCAUGGUUUUACUUACAGAGGCUUCCUGUUGGCAGACUGUUCUGCUACAGCAGCCGAAAUGCAACAACCUGAGCAAAGUCCCUAGAGUAGGGUACGCACUUCGUGCAGCUGCCUAUCACUGCAGCGUGUCUAAAGCAAAGCUAAUAUAUGAAAUAAUUCUCUGUAGAAUUGAGCCUGUAAGUUAACUGCUGUUUGAAAUGAGUCCUUUUGCUAAAAAGGUGAAGGGCAAUGUAAUUUUUGCCAUUACAGGCAAAGUCUGACUCCUGUGUUUGACUUUUCAAAUCCCCUUCAGAGCUCUAGAAUGGUCUGUUUGUCAAACUGAGAGCUCAACCUCGCUCUGCCAACUCCCAGUCAUAUAUGGAAAUUCACUUCCAGUGGGAUGGGGCUUCCUGAUCCACGUAAGGGUCACUUCCUUUAAUCUGGACCCAGAGGACCUUCUAAGCAACUCCAGAGAGAAUGACACGUGGCUUUCCUUAAUUUUUCCCUAAGGCUGUGCUCAUGACAGGCAGGUUUAACAUGCACACACACACACACACACACAUUUUAUGUUCUAGUGCAGACCUAAGACUCCUACAUGUGUCCACUUAAGGCACAUUUCUCUCAUUAUACUGCAGCAAAUCUGGGUUUGUUAGCAAGCAGGAGCCACAACCAAUCAUUUGCCCCUCUCCCUAUUGUGAUCAACACGUUUCCAAACCAGAUGUUUGUCCCUUUUGCACACUUCAGUUUCAGGCGUGCAAUUAAAUUCACUGUGUUUGCCAAAAAUAUGUUAACGUGUGAACAGUAGCGUAGCAUGGGCUGCCAGUGCCCGGGGCUGUGCGGAGGGAUGGGAGGGAGGGAAACUGAUGGAGUACAUAUGCACAUUCAACUGCAAAAUAGUGUCUGCGUCACCCAAGAGAUCACAGCUGCAGAGGUAAAAAAGAAGAAGAGCCAUUCUGUUGUCUGGAGAGGUCACUUCCUGGUUUGCACGGGGAAGCCAUUUUCAGCAACGGAAGCAUGCAGCUGUAUUGAGGCAGCCCCGGGUGUUGAAAUGUUGUGUCCCUAACAAUUUUGCGACUGGGGCAACCACCCCUGUGGCUCCGCCCCCGCAACAGUAUGCCAGUGUGUGUGAAAUGUCCAAAGAGGUUGAAAGCAACUUGCAUCUCAAUCCACUUCAGGGAAGGGCUGAUUCCCACAAACUGAACAUAAGAAGAGCCUGCUGGAUCAGACCAACCAGAUGCCUAUGGGAAACCCGCAAGCAGGAUUCGAGCGCAGGAGCACUGCUUGUACAUGCAUCUCAUCAUUGUGAUCACACAGCCAGCUUGUGAUUAGAUGGGGAAGGGUGAGUUGACACAAGAUGUAAAAAUAAAUAAAUUACAAAUUCUAUUUAUAGUCAAAAGAAUUGCCACUCUGCCCAAGGUGAAAGUGAAUAAAAAAUAGAGGAAAGGCACAUCAGGUUUAAUUUAGAAUUCAACCACCCUGAAUUAGGGCAUAAUAAACAACGCCAAAUUCAUGUUCUGUUAUCAGGCAGGCAGGGGAGAGACAUUGUCUUGGGGGUUUACUCCCAAGUAAGUGAGUCUAGCAUUGCAGCCAGGAACACCAUCCUAUAUGAAGUGAAUCCCAUUGGAUUUGAUAGGGCUUACUCCCAGGCAAAUGUGCACAAGACAGUGCAACCCUCUACAGCCUCAACCAGAGCCAGGGCCUUUUCAAUACUGGCUCCGGCCUGGUGGAACGCUCUGUUUCAUGAGACCAGGGCCCUGCAGGAUCUGAUUUCUUUCCGCGGGGCCUGUAAGACAGAGUUGUUCCGCCUGUCCUUUGGCUUAGAAUCAACUUGAUCCCAUCCCCCUCUUUCCAUUUUUCCUUUCUCCUUCUGUGAUGGAACUCCUAUUUGGGGACUUCCCUGGCUUUUUUCUGGCCCACGUAGGACCAGUCUGGAUAGUUGGCCUUGGUGAAGACUUGAUGUUUUCAUCCCCCAAAAAGUUUUUGAUUUGAGUUCCUACUGAAAUGAGGCCACAUUUUAAUGUUGUAUUUUAAUCUUGUUUUUAAGUUGUAUCUCAAUCAAUUGUUUUUAUAUCUUGUGUUAGCCUCCCUGAGCCCAGUCUUGGCUGAGGAGGGCAGGGUAUAAAUAAAAUUUAUUAAUAUUAUUAUUAUUAUUAUUAUUAUUAUUACAUGCUAGCUUGGAAGUAAGUUCCAUUAAAUUCAGCGUGGUUUACACCCUGGUUUGUGUAUAGGAAUGCAGCCUUUGCACUUGGGAGCUUCAGAAGCCAAGCCAGCUCUGAAGCAAAUCUAGCAGGCCAUUUCCUGUGGCUUCUGCCUUUGAUAGCCAGACUGCAGUGCGUUCUUCUCCCCUCUGAUCCGUUGAGGAAAGGGGUCCUGCCCAGGGAGUGUUGUGUCAUUCUACCUAAAUAAUAUCUCAGCCCUAUGAAACACACAGGGAGCUGCUAGCCUAUUCUGUGUAGGCUUUGCAAGUAGAUGGUGUUAGUGAAGUGGAGGAAGGGGGCUUGGGAGGUACUAAAAUGUGAAAAGAGCAAGGGGGUGGGGAGAGGGGAGAGACAAAGCCCCUGUGUCAGCACUUUGUCUUUCACUGGGAGUAGGGGCAAAAACUGCCCUUGAGACUGAAAGCAGAGUGGGGAGGGGGUUCUGGAAUUGCCCCGUGGCAAUGGGAAGAAAAGGCCUUCUGUUUAGUCGCUGAACAAGUGGGGGGAGCUUUUGAUGUUGGGGAAGAUAAUUAAUGUCACAAAUGUCUGCAGUGAUGAUAAUAAAUGCAGAUGGAGAGGUAGACAGCAGAAUCUGGAGUCCAGCAACUAUAAUCCCCCGAGGGGCAUCCCACCCACUGGAGCAACCACUCAAGCCACAUUCUUCUGACAGCACACACACACACACACACACACACACACACACACACACACUCAUUCCCCUCCUGUUGGAACCCCUCCCUCAGUAUCUCCCACCUUCAAAACAAAAGUUUCUCUUACUCUCACUCUUGUUUCUGCUUGGCUCCUGUUCCUCAUUCCACUGGCAGCGUGUACUCAAAGAUCCUGCUCUCAAGAUGAUGUAUAUUUUUGAGAAGCUCUUCCCCUUAGUUAAGAAAGUCCCAGCUGAAUCACAAAAGUAUUGGGGUGUGACACACAUAUAACUUUCCAAGAGUGCUGAGUAUACUCUGCUGCUGCUGCUGCUGAUAAUAAUAAUAAUAAUAAUAAUAAUAAUAAUAAUAAUGCACAAAGGUAUCCCAAAUGAAAGAUGAAAUGUUGCGAUCAACGUAAUUUAAGCACCUUUGUUUAUUUUGGUUCUGCUGAUCAUAAAGAGAGCAGGUGGUUCCAGCCACUUGGGGACUUGUGAGCACCUUUUCAAAGCGGAUAAAGUAUUGUGGGCACCACAAACACAAGCCCUGCAACAUGCUCUAUUGACUACAGCAGAAGGGUUCUCUCAAGCCUAAUUUUAGGGGUGGGCACCCUGAAGGCUUCUGAAGGGUACACAGACACUACCUUGGGGCCCCCAUACCACUGUUUGGCUGCUGGGUAUCCUUUUUAAAUACCUCCCCAUCUCCCAAGCUUCUACGAUUCUACCCACAAUUCCCCACACAUUCUGAAUUCUGUCGACACAGACCUAGACAAGGUCUAGACAAGGGAGUGAGAAAGCUUCUUCAGUUUGAUGGCCACUUUCCCUUUAGGACAACCUUCUGAUGGCAACAUGGCAGUGGUGGGCGAUUCCAGAGGCAGAAGCAGGCAGAGCAGCAAAUGCACAUUUCUGUCGUUCUAUAGGAGGUCACUUCCUACACACAUUCACAAAUCCACCUCUGCCCUCUGUCCAGGCAAACAAGAGGCAUUGACAAGAGUCCAAGGACAAAUUCUAGCCAGGCAAAAACAUUUGGGGUGGAAAACAGAGUGUGGCCUGGGGAGAGUUCCAAGGGCCAGGUAGUGAGGCCGGUGUGUGUGUGUGUGUGUGUGUGCACGCACAUUUGCCCCCUAGCCAUGAGAUUUCCAACCUAGAAGCUUGCACUUUAGAUGGGGGAUGGUGGGGUGGAACCUGAGUGUCUCAGGUUGCAGAAGAGUGUUACCCAAUAUUAAUUUCUUUUGUGCUUCCACAGAGUAAUACUGUGGAAGACGUAACCUUGAGUUUACUGCUUUACGCUGUUCCUUUUAUGUGCAUCCAUGCGACAUCCCUGUGAUACACAUGCUUCCCAUUUCAUAGAUAAAGAAUGAAUUUUGGGAUUCAGUGAUUUACUCAAGUCCCGUUAGGAAAGAUCUUUAUCCACUGAACCUCCAGGGAUGCUUCCACACUAGAUGUUUCUUGCCUCGCUAUGGUACUUACUUCUAAGUAGACAUGUAUAGGAUCGCACCACUAAUAGUGCUUGAGGAGGCCUAGCCCUCCUUCAACUUUUCUCUAAUCCUUCACUUUGACUGGAGUUGCAGAUUCUCUGCAGGCGAAGAGGAAACCAUAUAACUCAUCUUGUUCCCAGGUUGCACUUCUAAGUGCUACUUUGCUUUCUGUCUGGAACAAAUGGACCUCUUUGUACUCUGCUGGGUUCAUUCUAAUAGAUUAGGAAGAUGCCUGCCAUUAUGGGGUUUGGGUGUGUGUGUAUAAGUAAGUCAUCCACUGUAUGGGAAGGAUGGUAAAUUGCCAGGCCUUGCAGCAGGGUCCAUUGCCAUUGCACCUCUUCCUCAAUGAGGAUUGGAUUCCAUUUUGUCCUCAUUAUAAACCAAUAUAAAAAUAUAAAAAGGUAAAGGGACCCCUGACCAUUAGGUUCAGUCGUGACCGACUCUGGGGUUGCAGUGCUCAUCUCGCUUUAUUGGCCGAGGGAGCUGGUGUACAGCUUCCGGGUCAUGUGGCCAGCAUGACUAAGCUGCUUCUGGCGAACCAGAGCAGCGCACGGAAACGCCGUUUACCUUCCCGCCAGAGCGGUACCUAUUUAUCUACUUGCACUUUGACGUGCUUUCGAACUGCUAGGUUGGCAGGAGCAGGGACCGAGCAACGGGAGCUCACCCUGUCGUGGGGAUUCGAACCGCCGACCUUCUGAUCGGCAAGUCCUAGGCUCUGUGGUUUAACCCACAUCGCCAACAAUAUACCAGAGUGCAAAGUUUUACUUCUCUGCAGCCAACAAAUGGCAGCUGUUCAUUUAGUGGGAGAAAGUAAAGGGAUGCUCUGAGAGACAAUUUAGGGGUGGGGGCUAAACCUGCUCCCUGCUCCUGGUGAUAUCAAUGGCACCGGCAAUUAAGAUCGAAGCACUGCUUUAGACUCUCUCUUGUUCUUGGUCACAGUAGAGCGUGACAGAAUGCUUGCUCACAAGUUCCAUGGAAUGCAGAUACAAGCUGUCUCUACACAUGUUCAAGUGUUUGUUUGAUUUGCUUGUACACUUGCUGAUUUGCACAGCUCAUCCUAUGCGAACACAGACUGUACACUCCUGGACUGUUACAUGUGAAUAAUUGUAGAAGCGUACAGCUCAACUGUUUGUGUACACACACGACAUACUCACUCGGUGCCAUGUGCACACACCCCUACUGUGUUGGGAAGUGGGUGUUCCAUAGCUAGAUGGCCUUCCAAUGGAAAAGCAUAGCCUACUCCUGAGAUUGCAGGUGCAAAGCAGCCCCAGUGAUUUCACAAGCAAAACAAAAGAGAGAGGGAAAACCUGACCCAAGUCACCAAAGAGGACAAAGAUAGCAAUAAACUUGUCACAUGGCCACCUUUUAAUUGUCCUCCUGUUUUGCUUUGCCUCUAAGCGCCUCCAAUGAAGCUCCAAUUUAAUGGCGCUCCAGCGUUACUCAAUGCGCAGAGACUUUUCCGACUGCAGGCGUUUCGAAGUGUCAUAUAUGCAAAUGUGAAAUAGUCCCCUUUUCCUCCCUCUGGGAGAGGUGUAGCCAGUCAAGUGCUUAAGCUGCUGCCUCUCCUACACUAAUCAUAGCAAUUCAGGCUAGCUAACCACAGCCUGACCGUUGUUCUCUCAUCUAUUUUUGCUCUGGUCUUCCAGAACAACCUCUUACCAACUUCCUCAAUCAGCACAGCUAAACAGUGUUUGCCACCCACUGGCAAGUGAAGAACCAUUUUGGAGUGCGGAGGGGGUUGGGGGGGAACCUUCCUGUCUCAAAGCUCUUAACCUGCUGUUUCCCAGCAACCUUCCAUCUCUCUGGAAGACUUGGCGCAUGCCUCCCUCUCUCUGAAUGCUUGUGCCUGGAUCUGAUUCUCUCUCCUGUCUCAAAGUGUGAGGUAGAUCUCCUGAGAAAUAUGCAAGCCACGAAUCUUCUCUGUGGAAGCGCAAAAGUAUAGGCUGCCACUCGAUGAUCUGGAAAUUACUUAUACAGUGGACGCUCGGGUUGCAAAUGUGAUCCAUGUGGGAUGCGCGUUCGCAACCCGCGUCUGCGCAUGCGCAGGUUGCGAUUUGGUGCUUCUGCACAUGCGCAAAGCGCGAUUUAGUGCUUCUGCACAUGCGUGACCUCCAAAACCUGGAAGUAACCCGUUCCGGUACUUCUGGGUUUUGGCCGUCCGUAACCCGAAAAAACACAACCUGAAGCGGCUGUAACCCGAGGUAUGACUAUAUUUGUUUAGUGGCGGUUAUACAGCACCAUCAAUUUGUAGGACUCCUGAUCAGUGCUUUUCUUCUAGAGAAAAAAAGGGUGCUGGUACUUGCCAUGAAUUUGUUGCAAUGAGUGCCACACUUUUAACCAGUGUUUUAAUUCUAGGGGGAAAAGGUGCCAGUACAGUGGUACCUUGGGUUACAUACGCUUCAGGUUACAUACGCUUCAGGUUACAGACUCCGCUAACCCAGAAAUAAUACCUCGGGUUAAGAACUUUGCUUCAGGAUGAGAACAGAAAUCGUGCUCCAACAGCGCGGCGGCAGCGGGAGGCCCCAUUAGCUAAAGUGGUGCUUCAGGUUAAGAACAGUUUCAGGCUAAGAACAGACCUCUGGAACGAAUUAAGUACUUAACCUGAGGUACCACUGUAUUGCAUACCCUCGAGUUUCCCCCAGAAAAAAGCACUGCACUUUAGUAUAAGAGAGCAAGUCUCUAUCCAGACAUCUAACAAUCUAUAAAUUGAUAGGCAGGAGGCAGCAGAAGAAAUGGAGACAAGAGCAAAUGGCGAAAAUGUGUGCUAUUUUAGUCACAGGUACUUAGGCCUUCUCACUUUAGGUCAAAGAAAGAAAACCUGCAGUCCUCUAGAUGUUACUGGACUACAAAGCCCAUCUUCCCUGCCCACUGGCCAUCCAACAACAUUGGGGGGGGGGCAAAGACUCACUAGCCUUCGCAUGAGGGCCGAGGGGCUGUACCAAAGGCUUUAUGGAAAAAGGAUUCUAAGGAUGGACUUGAAGGAAAGAAGAGGCAUCGCUCAUGUUUAGUACAGUGCAGUUUCAAGUACAAGGAACAUCAAGGACAAAAUGGUGGAGUUGUGGAAGAGAUCAGGAGCACUUUGAGUGACCGAGGACAGUGAUGCUGGAAGAGUGAAGGUCAUGGUCAGGGAUGUGUUUUGAUAUAAGAGCAGAGGGAUGCAGGAAGCGAGGUCAUGUAGGACUUGGAAGGUAAGGGACCUUCUGCUAGAUCUGGGAGUGGAUGUGAAGCCAGUGUAGGAAAUUUAAGGAUUUAAACUGUGUCCUUUACAAUCUAAUUUGUGUGCUCAUUCUCACAAUACAUUGUUCCGGGAUGAAGGAGGGAAGGUAUGUGGGGAGAAAACCUAUUACUUGGGCAAAUGCUUCGGCCUGCAGAAGACACUUCGGAUUCCUCACACCAAAAAUGUAAUCUAAUAAAUCGUUAAAGAAAUAAUAGUUGCCUCCAGGAGAUUCCUUGCCACUCCACAAUCUAUACUAGUGUGUUUUGGAAAGUUGUGACAGUGUGUGUGUUUAAAACAUGUGUGCCCCCCCCCCCAUCCAACCCUCUAGAUCAGGGGUCAGCAAACUUUUUCAGCAGAGGGCCGGUCCACUGUCCCUCAAAUCUUGUGGGGGGCCAGACUAUAAUUUUUUGGGGGGAGGGAAAUGAACAAAUUCCUAUGCCCCACAAAUAACCCAGAGAUGCAUUUUAAAUAAAAGGGCACAUUCUACUCAUGUAAAAACACACUGAUUCCUGGACCGUUCAUGGGCCAGAUUGAGAAGGCGAUUGGGCCGGAUCCGGUCCCCAGGCCUUAGUUUGCCUACCCAUUCUCUAGAUGUUAUUGGACUCCAGAUAGUCAGGGAUGAUGGAUAUUGUAGUCCAGCCACCUCCAGAAGGAUACAGGUUCGCUACCCUUGAUUUUUGUUCUUUUCUUUUUUUAAAGGAAACAUUUUUUAAAAAACUUUUUGGAACAUCCUCAGACUAGGGGAUGUUCAGCUGACACAUGAUCAUCACUCAUUGAAAUGAUUCUGUGGAUUUGCCCUUAGCUUCAAAUAAAAAGAGCCCCUGAAUUAGUCUGCGGGGACCCUAAACUCAAGGAGGGUGUUGACAAGCUGGAAAGGCUUCGGGGGAUAGCUGCAAAGAUGAUAAAGGGUCUAGAUAAAAGGUUCAUGUGAGAAAGGUCUGAAGGAACUGGCUACGCUUAACCUAGAGAAACAAAGAUUAAAGGGAAGGCUAGGCAGGUCAUUUUUACCUAUCAGCAUGCCUCUCAGAAAGAAAAGGUGGAGAUUCUGUUGCCUGCAUCCACUGUGGGUGGAACAUUUCAAAGCAAUAGCUAGUAGUGCAUUUAGGAUCUUUUGCAUUUCCAGCUUAUUGCACAAUAAAUCCACAUUGGUUAGGACUGUCCCCCCCACGCAGGUGCAAAUCAAGGCUGGUCACCAAGUGUGCAACAAAGCGUAGAUUUCUGGCUACUGUAUACCUGUGUCAUAAGGGACACGGGUGGCGCUGGGGUCUAAACCACUGAGCCUCUUGGGCUUGCCAAUCAUAAGGUUGGCGGUUCGAUUCCCCCAACGGGGUGAGCUCCCGUUGCUCUGUCCCAGCUCCUGACAACCUAGCAGUUCGAAAGCACACCAAUGCAUAUUGAUAAAUAGGUACCGCUGCGAUGGGAAGGUAAACAGUGUUUUCGUGCGCUCUGGUUUCCAUCACGGUGUUCCGAUGCGCCAGAAGCGGUUUAGUCAUGCUGGCCACAUGGAAAGCUGUCAGUGGACAAAUGCCGGCUCCCUUGGCCUCAAGCGAGACAGGUGCUGCAACCCCAUAGUCACCUUUGACUGGACUUAACCGUCCAGGGGUCUUUUACCCUUUUUACCUUUCCCCUAUACCUAUGUCACAGGCAUUUCUGAACAUCUGUUGGCCACAUUCGAAGUUUUCAUGUUUAGGCCUAUACCUGAAGGAGCGUCUCCACCUCCAUCGUUCUGCCCGGACACAGAGGUCCAGCGCCGAGGGCCUUCUGGUGGUUCCCUCGCUGCAAGAAGCCAAGUUACAGGGAACCAGGCAGAAGGCCUUCUCGGUAAUGGCACCCGCCAUGUGGAACGCCCUCCCACCAGAUGUCAAAGAGAAAAAUAACUACCAAACUUUUAGAAGACAUCCGAAGGCAGCCCUGUUUAGGGAAGCUUUUAAUGUUUAAUAGGUUAUUGUAUUUUAGUGUUUUGUUGGAAGCCGCCCAGAGUGGCUGGGGAAACCCAGCCAGAUGGGCGGGGUAUAAAUAAUAAAUUAUUAUUAUUAUUAUUAUUAUUAUUAUAUAGGUGGACAUCAUAAACAAGACCGAAAAAUUUCCCAAGUAUGUGCCUGCUUGUUUAUAUGAAUGUCCUUCCUAUGCUCACCAAUUCUGUUGAGCAAAUGACUGCAUGGAGGAGAGAGCAAUCUAUGACUGCUAGCCGUGAUGGCUGUACCCUACCACCAAAUUCCAGUUGCUGGAAAUUAUAAGAGGGGGCAGUGCUCUUGUGUUCAUGCUCUGCCCCCUCAUUUCCUGUAAGCAUCAGGUUGGCCACUGUGAGAACUAGGCAGACCAAUUCUAUGGGGGCCAAGGUGUGUUCAGCCCCCGCAAUAUCUGUUGGGAGGGGGAUAGGCCCCCUCAGCACUGAGGAGGCCGAGCGUGGAGCUGAGCGCAGCGUGGCAUGGCUUCAGUGGCCUCCUCCUGAGCACGAGAGAGGAGGAGCCACUGGCCAUUGAAGCCUCAACCUGCUGGGUUCCAUGCUUGUUCCCGACGAUGCAACAUUGCACACUCAAUGUGCGCAUGACGCCACACGCACACGACGGGGCCCCCCUCAGUCUUGGGACACAAGUCGGCGCCUCUGGUGAUGUCAGCCUCCGGGGAAUCAGGUCCCUCCCACGGACACAGCCAAGAAUCAGAGAAACGAUCAAAGUUCUUACCAUGCAAUUUAUUCAAUAAUUCACAGAGAGUGACAAAGGAAUGCAGCCUUCCCUAAAUAUGGCAUUGCUCCAAGUAAAGUCCCGUUACCCCCACGUCUCCCCUAUUCGACGUCAUUCCUAUGUUGGGUAAUCUGAGCUUUCUGCUGCUGAGCUCUCUGUUCUACUACCCUAGUCCUGGGGGGCGGGGGGCUGGUCAGGAAUGCUUUCCAAGGACACUGAAUCUGUCAGCCGUCUCUCCCCUGGUGUUUCUUCUUCUACUUCCUGCUGUUCCUCUUCCAAUAUUUCCCAGCUUCUGCCCUCUGCAGCCUCUGAAAUAUGCCCUUCUGCAAACCACUGUUCUAAAUCUAUACUGUCCUCCUGUUCUCUAGAAGCUUCAGGGGAAGGGGGAGGGUCCCCACUAUUCUUCCUCAGUCCAGCCCCUGACAGAUGAGACAGGAUGCUGGACUGGAAGGACCAAUGGCCUGAUCCCGCAGGCUGUUACGUUCUUAUGCUCACAAUCAUUUCUUCUGGCCUCUGAGCCUGUCUGGGAGAGAGAAGAUAAAACAGUAACAAUGGGAGGCAUUUGCAUGGGAAGAUACAUCAGGGUACAGGAUGGUGUGGAGAAAAUGGCUAGAGAGGUGAUUUUCUACCUCUCUCAAGGGGAAUAGAACCAGGGCUCAUCCAUCCAAGGAGAAGGAGUGCCAGGAGCUUCUAGAUAGACCAAAGGAGGUGCUUCUUCUCGCAGUGCCUAGUUAAGCUAUGGAAGAUGCAGUGGUGGCUACUUAAAGGGAGAUUAGAAUAAUUAGUGCAGGAUAAGGCUAUUAAUUUCACUAGCCAGGAUGGCUCUCUUACCUCUAAUAUCAGAGGCAAUACGCCUCCCGAGUACCAGUUAUUGGGGAUGACAAGUGGAAAGUGCUGUUGUGCUCAUGUGCCGGUUGUGGACUUCCCAUAGGCAUCUGCUUGACCACUGUGGGGACAGAAUGCUGGACCAAACGGACCUUUGGUCUGAUCUAGCAGGGCUCUUAGGUUCUAAAGAGCUUCAAACCACACCGCCACCCUUUCUAAAUGUAAAGAAUUCUUAAAACAGACAAGGAAGGCAGCAUGAAAAUACCUGUUGAGGACGCUUUAGGAAAUGUUUAUAUGUGGUUUUUUUAAAAAAAAUCAAAACCGUGUGUGUGAAUAGAUGUACCAUGUGGCAUGCAAAAUUGUGAUGAAUUGGCUUUAGAAAACACAAUGAUUAAGUACCAGGCAAACAUUCAUGUUUUAAAAACGCAGCUUUGGCUUGUUAAAUGCAUAUCUAGCUUAGGGCAAGGUGUUUUUUUGUUUACUUAGUUACCCUUAAAUUACUUCUGUGCUACCCCAUAAGAGGAGUUCUCUUGAUGGAAUACAUAACAGAAACUGCUAAAAUACUAGGAAGACAAUUUUUAAAAUUAAAAAUACCUUUAGUGUAAAAUGCCAAAAGAAUCAUAAACAAGUUGUGGCAGAAGUUAAGUAAUAAGAUUAAUUGAAUAAAAUUAAAUGCAAACAGGUCUUACAUGUCUUUAGAAAUGCCCGAACCUCAGAAUUGUUGUGAUUCCUGAUCCACUCCAUUCAUAGCCUUCCUUGGAGGUUUCUAAGCAGGGGCUGGAUGGCCAUCUGUCAUGAAUGCUUUAGCUGAGACUCCUGCACUGCAAGGAGUUGGACCAGAUGACUCUUCCAACACUACAAUUCUAUUAUUCAGUUUCUGUGAAAACCGCCAAAAACGUUUACCCCUGAGGGAAGGGGCGUUAGCAGAGUAGAGUUAACCUCCAGCCAUGGUUGCCCUGUGAAUCUGAUUCCUUACGCGUUGGAUGCCAACUCCAUUUGGGAUGCGCCACAACUCAGUGGCGCAAAGUAUCUGCUUUGCAUGCAGGUCUAAUCCCUGACAUCUCCACAUAAGCCUGGACAACACCCAUCUGGAACCCUGGGAAAUCACCGCCCACCAAUGUAGUUGGGACUCAACUAGAUGGGCUGUUAGUCUGACUCAGUGGUCCCUCGUGGUCCCUUCUAUCUCUACACUCCUGUGAUUCCAUGUCCACAUAUUCUUCCCUCUUCCUUGCCCAAACCUGUGUGAAGUCCUUGCCCUUCCUCUCCCUCCUGAUUGAUUCAACUCCCAUGGGGCCAAAACCCAGGGCAAAAGCUGUUGAAUGACCAGAGGUGGACUGAGCUCCUCUACUUUGAAUAGGUGUGUAGAGACAAGGGAAUGUCGGCGUGUUCGGCCUUUCUCAUCCCUGCACAAGUUUCCUCUCCUAAGUACUUCCUGUCUAUGCAACUAUGAAAGGUGCAAGGGCUCCUCCCUGCGUCCCCAUCCUCUUGCAUCCUGGUCUGGGCACCCUUGGCAGAUGCCAUGUACGGUUGAUGAGUCAGUCCGUUCCAAGACAAUCUUGGCUGAAAAUAUAUUCCUUGUGAUCAGGCGGUGUAAUUUCCUGAGACUUACUAAGCGAUAAGGAUGUCGAAUCUGUCCCACGCCUUGUGAUGUGUUUGUCUUUUAUCCUCAUGCAACCAAAUACAAUGAUGUAGCUGUGUUCCUUCACAAAACAUGGUUUUACAAGCCCCGUCAAAGGCAGAUGUGAAUGGGAGCAUGUGAUACAAAGCAAUGGGAAGCCAUCCCUGCCUCAAGGAGUUAACCAUCAUUAAAAAACAACAACGACAUUCUGAUUUCAAAGUGAGCUUCUCAGGAAACAGGGAAGGGCUAAUUCCCCACCCCACCCCUUGAUUACUUUUACUUUAUCUCCAGUUGUUUGCAGGGGAAUGUUGGUAGAUAAGCAUUACUUGGCUUAACUGUGGUCACAUCUACCUACAGUACAAAUUUAAAACAACAUGAAACUGAUUGAGGGGCCAGGGCUAUGUCUUGGGGACUGUGGUGUUGUGAAGAUGCUGAGAAUUUUUCUUGGGAUCCCUAUACAGUAGUGUUUUCACAUUCAACUACAGUUCCCAAGUUCUAUUGGUUGGGUGCUGUUACCGCCUGGUUCCAAUUUCUAGUGCAGAAAUAGCCAUAAUUAUUGCAUCAACCAAUCCAUAUGCAUAUCUCAGCCUAUGCCAUGUUUAUAUUGUGGGAGAAAAAUAUGAAUCUCUGUGACCCACUUUUGUGAGGUAAAUGACAAAAGAACUGGCUGGAUUGGCUGGAUUGGCUGGAUUCAAAAUGUGGGGCUAAACUCACUCUCCAGCAGGGGGAAUCACCCAGUUGCAGAGUUUAAACUCACAAGGUAAGUAAUAUAGGUUGUUAGAUCAUUUUAUCCCAUUAAGUUGUAUACAGCGCUUGCCUGUUUUUACUCCUCUUGCAAUGAACAGAUCACACACUGCUAAGUACUGUAAGUUAAAAUGCUUUACUUACAGAUUAAAAGGUCAGAUUCAUACAUUUAUCCAAGCAGCAGUGAGGAGAACACAGGCAAAAUACUCUUGGGGAGAAAAUACAGAAAUAUAGCUUCAAACACAUGCAGUAAGCUUGGAGCAAAGCUGAGACAUGUCCUUCCUCAUAGGUUACGGAAGAUAGGGCUUGCCCUUGGUGAAUAUGUACGGUGUUAGAGGAUAUGAAAAGAGGAAUGACACCAAGCCACAUCAACAGGGAUCAGGGAGCUUGACUAUUCUGGGAUGUAUGUCAAGUGCCAAUAUUCUGAAACAGAUCCUCAGGAGUCAGAAAGUUUCUGCCUUGGGCCAAAGGAAAUCCAAUACAAGCAAAAUGUACCGUAUUUUUCGCUCUACAAGACGCACCAGACCAUAAGAUGCACCUAGUUUUUGGAGGAGGAAAACAAUAAAAAAUAAUAUUCUGAAUCUCAGAAGCCAGAACAGCAAGAGGGAUCGCUGCGCAGUGAUCCCUCUUGCUGUUCUGGCUUCUGGGAUAGCUGUGCAGCCUGCAUUCACUCCAUAAGAUGCACACGCAUUUCCCUUUACUUUUUGGGAGGGAAAAAGUGAGUCUUAUAGAGCAAAAAAUACGGUAAAUCUCCAAACCUGUCAACAUGGAGACUCCCCCCCCCCAGUUUGUGAUCUUCAAACUUUUUGAAAAUACAAAAGUCAUUUAAAAAACAACAACUAACAUAAUCCUUUUUUAAAGGUCUUUUUUAAAUUCUUGAAAUGCAAAACAUAAUACAGUGAAAAACACAAAUAUCAGUGUUUGUAUACAUACAAAUAUAUCUGAAGGCUUUAUCCGUGGAAACGAAACAAAAAACCCUAGACAUUUUGCCAAAUUUCAAAAUUCCCACCUGGACACAAAUUUUAAGGCUGAGUAAGAAGAUGUACCCAGGAAGAACCAGACGUAUGGCAACCCUGGCCUCUCCCCUGGAGCAGAGCCCUCCUCCAGCUCCCUGAGUUCCUCCCACUUUCUCCUCACCCAACCAAUCCCCUCCAUGGGGUUCAUGACGCUUUCAGCAUAUGAUACCUCUGCUUACAGAUCUGUACCAGUUGCCCAUUUGUUACUAUGCCAGAUUCAAGGUGCUACUUACACAUCACUUGGGAAGACAGGUGAACUAAUACCAUUGUACUGGAAGAAGCAAAUAACACCAUUGUUGAAGCAAUGAUUCUUCAACAUCAGCUUUGUUGGACUGGUCAUGUUGUGAGGAUGCCUGAUUAUCAUCUUCCAAAGCAACUACUCUAUUCCGAACUUAAAAAUGGGAAAGCGUAAUGCUGGUGGUCAACAGAAGAGGUUUAAAGACUCUCUCAAGGCAAAUCUUAAAAAAAUGUAGUAGAAACACCGGCAACUGGGAAACACUGGUCUGUGAGUGCUCCAAUUGGAGAACAGCCUUUACCAAAGGUGUAAUGGGUUUUGAAGACACUUGAACGCAGGAUGAAAGGGAGAAGCGUGCUAAGAGGAAGGCACGCUUGGCAAAUCCACACCGUGAUCAACUCUCACCCAGAAACCAAUGUCCCCAUUGUGGAAGGACUUGUGGAUCCAGAAUUAGCCUCCACAGUCACUUAUGGACUCACUUUUAAAACCAUGUUUAUGGAAGACAACCUUUCUCGGCUAUGAGUGAUUCCCAAAGAAGAAGAGAAGAAGAAGAAGCUACUUGCUGCUGGUAUGUAGGUUCUAGAAUUAUAGGGUUGGGAGGAGACCCAAAGGGUCAUCAAGUCCAACCACCUGCAAUGCAGGAAUCUUUUGCCCAGUGUGGGGCUCAAACCCAUUAAAGCCCUUCACAGCUUGAGACCACUUGUGGGAUCUCCCUACUCUAUAGAUGUGUCCACUUCAACCACUUCAAUUUGUGGAACUGCCACUGUUACAGGUGCCACAUAAUACUCUGCACUGUAAGAGACUUUUAUUUUAAUUUAUUUUAAGAGAUUUUAAUGCAGCAGUACCUACAUGUUGGAACUCCGUAAUAAUUUCAGCCAGGCACCUUCGCUGUUCUCUUUUUGGCUUAAAACAGUUUCGUUUUAAGCCUAUCCAGACAUACAGAUCUUGACGUGUUUUAUUCUCCUUACUGUUGGUUUUAGUCACCUUCAAAUGUUUUCUAACUGCAAUUUUAAUAUUUCUUGUAAACCGCUUUGAGAUUUUAUUGCAAUCAAGGGUUAUAUAUUUUUUGAUAAAAAUGAAUGGACUAGCAAGCGAUAUAGUUGGGCUUUGACAGCCUGCCCUCCAAAACCUUCAGGAUCUAAGGGGGCGGGGGAUUUUAAACAGAGAGCCAAGAUUCUCAGCAAAGUUCAAAGGCUCAUCCAAUAUUAAAUUGCACACAAGCUGUGAAUUUCAAGAGCAGAGGUGGCGGCAAGUUUUUGAGGCCUCACCAAAAAGAAAAGAAAAAAGGGAAAGCAAUGUUAGCCAUACAAGGCAAGACCUUCGCACCCUCUUCUUAAAAGUAGAGGGGGGACGUCCCUUUCGCAAUGCACACCUAGCCCAUAGCAUAGAAAGUAGAAACCCAUAGAUUAUCUCGGAGGUUCAGAGAAGCCUGGCCAUUCCAGCUUUUAAGACCGCUAGCUAUAAUAAAAAUAAAAAUGACAACACCCAAAAAAACAGAAUUAGGUGCCAAAAAUAAAGAGGGAUGUAACUUUUUUGAGGGGAUACUUAACAAAGCCUUUCCUAUCUGAGAGUGUCACAUUUGGGUCCGGUGUGCAUAUAAACAAGCUGCGAAACUUAUAAUUUUUUUUAACAAGUGUCUAAAUCUGAGGCCUCCUUUGAGCUCUAAGCCCCUGGGCCAAAUGGUCAUCCUGACACCGCCCCUCUGCCCUGAUUGUCCCUGAGGCCCCAAUAAACAGUAAAUAACAAUAGCCCCUCAGUGUGUAGGACCAAUGAGUCGGCCAGAAAAAUAGGUUUUCCCAGGGAAUCGUCACAUGAUGGCUGGACUGUGAGGGAGGGGGAGCCCUCGGCUUGGCCUUCCCCCUUUGGCACCUCCACCAGGACAGAGCUCCCCAGUGGCAAUGGGAUCUGACAAUUGGCUUUGUGUAGCCUGUCAGAAGACAGCCUACAUGGCAAUGACAUGCUUUCUCCUCUACUUCAGGACUCCUCUUGCCUAUUUGCUGGCUGACCUUUUCUGUAGCCCGAGCGGAUGGAAAUCCUAGCAGCAGCAGCAGCAGCUAAAAGCAGGGAGUGCUCUGCAUAAAACUGAUUGGCCCAUCUGGGUGGAUAUAUUGGGAUGAUUUGUGAAAAUCCAGACAAGCAAACAAAGGGACAAGGACAGCAGCCCAAAUAGGUCAAGGGAGGCUCAUGGGUUGUUGUUGCUGCUGCUGCUGCUGCUGCUGCCGCCACUCCUCUUUCCAUCUCGAAGAAAACACAUUUCUGAGACAGGAAAACGCUGCCGCCUGCAUAUCCUGGUCCUUUAAAGUGCCCCCCAGUUCAGCCUCACACCAGGUGUCUUAAGUUCCCCAUCCCCAGCUCGCCAUUUGCCUCCGCUCCAGAAAUAAAUCAAAACGUCUCUUAAAACUCAUUUGUGUUCUUUUGCUUCUGAAUGUCUUCAGCACAGUCUGUUUGCCAAGCCCUUUGGGCUGAAUCGCAGGCAGACAUUAGCAGAGGACACUUCAUCUUACCAACCUUAUGUAUCUGUUUUGUUUCUUGGAGGAGAAAAAAGAAGCAGGAGGACUGUGGCGGCGGGUGGGGAGGGAGGGGGAAAGCACUUAUGCAGAGGGGGAAAGAUAGGGAGGCGGCUCGGUGCAGAAAUGAAAAGGACCUGAGUCAGAAUAAUGAAUUGGGGACAUUAUCUCCGCUCUGCCACGCCGCUUGCAACUUUCCCAGACCUGCAUGGGUGACACUGACCUUUAAAAUGUCUGUUGGAAAUGCACGCUGAGGCAGACUGCAAGCAGAGCCAGGCAGUGUAGGGGUGGAGUGGGGGAAGGCAUCAAAUUUAUUUCUUUCCCCAUUCUAUUGCAUUUCCAAAUUGAACCAGGACCUUAAAGUUUAGUGCUACUCCAAUAUGAAAGCUUUUUUCCAGUCACAUCUUAGAGACCAACUAAGUUUGUCAUUGGUACGAGCUUUCGUGUGCAUGCACACUCUAAGUUUGUCAUUGGUACGAGGCCAUUGGAGGCCACCAGGUUCGGAAAGGUUGGCAAGCCAUGUGUUAUGGCGGGAUGGGGUAAAGAUUAAAGAUAAUAACAAUGAUGUUAUAUGGGAAAGUCAAAAUAAAAAUAAAAAAUUGUCCAGUAGCACCUUAGAGACCAACUAAGUUUGUUCUGGGUAUAAGCUUUCGUGUGCAUGCACGAAAGGGGUUUUUCUCAGAAGGGUAGUAGGAGAUCGGUGAUUGAUUCAAUGGGUAUGGUAAACCUGUUGAAGACUGUUAAUGACUGCAAUUAUUCCUAUAGGAAAAGGCAAGGGAUAGUAUGCAGAUGACCAAAAAUAGCUUUAGCAUGUAUAAUGAGACAGCAAUCCAAUAUCUCUAUUCAGACCAGGUCUCUCCAUAGUUUUCAGUUUGGUAAUAAGUUGUAAUUCAGCAACAUUGAGUCAAUCACCCAUCUCCUACUACCCUUCUGAGAAAAACGCCACCCCACCCUCCCACCAUAUAUAAGGGUAUGGUGACUUCUGCUUCAGUGAAUCUGAAGAAGUGUGCAUGCACACGAAAGCUUACACCCAGAACAAACUUAGCUGGUCUCUGAGGUGCUACUGGACAAUUUUUUAUUUUUAUUUUAUCAGACCAACAUGGCUACCUACCUGAAUCUAGAUAUAUGGGAAAGUUAGCAGAUAUCAGCCCAGGUGUAGUUGCUUUAAGGCCAGUGCCCAUCCUUAGACUCAUAAGAGUUGGAAGGGACCCAGAGAAUCAUCUAGUCCAACCCCCUGCAAUGCAGGACUACGCAGCUGUCCCUUAUGGGGAUCGAACCUUGAACCUUGGCAUUAUCGGCACCAUGCACUAACUAUCCAUCUACUAUCAAACCAAUGUUCUGAGGCGUUUUAGGACCUUGGGUACAACUUCCAAUUGAUACCCUCACUCCUAUCGGUUAACAUGGGCUUCAGUUCAUCAACAGGGUCUCCUUUAACCAGCCUUGCACAAGUCCUGGUUCACUUCAGUAAGGCUUGCACAGUUAGGCUUGUGUGUAGAUUGUGCUCUGUGGGUGAGAAGGUGCCUGUCGUGUAAAUCUACCACCUGAAAAUGUCACCUCAGCCUGUCGUCUAGGAGUGGCUGGAUGCAAAAGAAUGAUGAGGCUUCCUGCACUUCUAAAUAGUUGUCUUAAGAGACAGAAUUUCAGCAGGUGUAGCUUGCAGGCUUUGGUUCCUCCUGCUGAAAUUCCGUCUCCAGCACAAUGGCUAAAGGUAUAAAAAUUCUAUCCUGUUGUUUACACGGCCACUCAACUCCUGGGCAACCAAUUGAAGUUGACCUCCACAAAACAGACACAUCAAGUCAACCAAAAUGAAAUUUGCAUCAAACUUGAUUGUAGACAAAUGUCCAGAAUUUGCAACAUCUGUUUAUGUUAUUCCUUCGAAAUUUCAUGUCUUAAUUUCUUACAAAGUAUUUCUUACUUUUUUCUUAAAGAACAAACAAGUAAACUUUGAGGUCAGGCAGCAGCAAGAAUCUGUUUUCUCCCCCACCUUCCUUAACCCAGCCUAUUUGGGCACCCGGAACUCAAAAAAUUGAGCAGGAGGGAGAAAAUGUACCGUAUUUUUCGCUCUAUAACACGCACCCGACCAUAACACGCACGUAGUUUUUAGAGGAGGAAAAUCCGUAGGCAUGCCACCCGUAGGCAUUCCCUCCAUAACACGCACAGACAUUUCCCCUUACUUUCUAGGAGGAAAAAAGUGAGUGUUAUGGUGCAAAAAACACGGUAAUUAGUAUGAGAGCGGGAGGUGCCAUUUAUCACUCAAAGUCUUCUGCCAGCCUGAAGGGGAGGGGCCAUCACUCAGAAGCAGGGCACAUGCUCAGCAUACAGAAAGUUCCAGGUUCAAUUCCUGCUCUCUUCAAGUAGAGCUGAGAAAGAUUUCUCUUUGGAAUCCUGGAGAGCUCAAUGGAGACAGUAGUGGACCUGGUGGACUAGUGGCAAUAACACAGUUUCCUAUAUUCCUAGAUAUUCAAGCCAGUGUAUGCGUGUGUGCUGGAAUUGCAGGAGGUAGCACAUUUUAAACAUUUCUGCCCUUGCAUUGCCUGCCAGUCCAUGACCUGAGGCAAAUAGCUUCACUGUGGCACUGUGGGUUAAACCACAGAGCCUAGGACUUGCCGAUCAGAAGGUUGGCGGUUUGAAUCCCCGCGACAGGGUGAGCUCCUGUUGCUCGGUCCCUGCUCCUGCCAACCUAGCAGUUCGAAAGCACGUCAAAGUGCAAGUAGAUAAAUAGGUACCGCUCUGGCGGGAAGGUAAACGGCGUUUCCAUGCGCUGCUCUGGUUCGCCAGAAGCGGCUUAGUCAUGCUGGCCACAUGACCCGGAAGCUGUACGCCGGCUCCGUCGGCCAGUAAAGCGAGAUGAGCGCCGCAACCCCAGAGUCUGUCACGACUGGACCUAAUGGUCAGGGGUCCCUUUACCUUUACCUUUACCUUCUGACGGAGAGGCACCCUUAGGCUCUCAGUGACUGUGAUUUUUUCCCAGAGUUCAGACAAAGUCUUUUUCUACUCCAGAGGUUGCAGCAGUUGCUUUUAAUUUCAGCCUGGACUUAAGGAAGCUGAAAGGUAAACAUAACCAACCACAGUUAUCCAAGAAGCUGAGGGUCGUAUUUGUGCUCCUCACUAGCACUUCCACUACUUAAAGACUUGGAGAAAUUAAGAGAGGAGCUCCCAACUGUCCUUGUCUCACUAAGGAGGACCACACCACGCAUUGUUGAAAUCCCAUGAAAAUCCCUCCUGUUCAUUGCACCCUUAUCCUGCUCGGCUUUUUCUAAAUAAGUGUGAGCUUUCUACCCAGGAGAGGGCCAGACUCUGUUUGUGGGAUUCAAUGCCUGCUGUGCAUUGUUCGUUGCAAGGCACUGCUGAUGUGCCUAUGCAACGCCGUGUGGUUCAGAGCAAAUCUACAGAAGUUUCCCAUCAAUGGCUUCCUUUCCUGAUUCAGCUUUUUGUACACCUGCAAUUUAGGGCACCACACACCACACUUAACGCAGGACGUUCAGAAAUUUGACUUUAAAAAAUAACAAAACCCCCCAAAAAGCACUGAGUGAUGCGCUUUGUAAUGAGGGACAGUUUGCAAGCUUUGCUCCAAGGGACAUUGAAUUAAAAACAGCCCUUUGGUACUUCUGGACGGGCUAUUCCUAUAAUCAUAGAGCUGCAACAAACUGCCUUUGCCACAGGCUUUUAUUUGAGAUUCUGAUAACAGGCUGUGGUUUUGAGGAACUAGAGCUCUCGCUAGACAAGGCUCGGUCUUGUCGAAUUAUUGACUUUGUAGUGUAUAUCAUUCCCCAUUGUAGCGAGGUAAUGGCAGCUCUCACUAACACACUAGGAAUAUGUUAAGGAACUGCACAGUGCAGCGACGGCAAGUUUCUGUUUUAUCUUGUUAGACUUACCCGACGUCACGUUGGUAUUCAGCCCAGCUAAUGCCGUGCCGUUAAAAAAAGAGAGAGAGAGAGAGGGAGUCUUACAUUAAUGACUUUUGUCACAAAAGUCAUUAACAUAAUAGGACUUCCACAUCAAAAUUGAAUAUUAAUGCUACACCAGGCUGAGGUAGUAAGAGGGAUAAUUGCUCUAAUACAUUUUCCAGUCGGAUUUUCGCAUCGUGGUAGCAAUUGCAUUAGCAAACCCGAUUAUUAACACAUCUGAUACAAUGGCAGUGGCUAAUAGGAGUUAAGUUGGUUCUUUUUCUUCUCCCCACUCAGGGCCACAGCCCUUGUUCCAAAGCAAAAAAUCACAGGCGCUGCCAAAAUCUAUGCACAAGCGUCAGCAGGAAACGUUUAAUCAGGAUGGUGAGCACAGAGAUAGACCAGGAGUUUGGGAUAAAUUUGCGAGAAGGACAAAUUACUCCUCCCCACUUUGUUACUAGGGGCAAAUUGCUCCAGCCUCCAACUUUCCAUCUGCGAAAUGGAGGUGAGGGCUUCCUUGCUUAGAUAUUGUGAGGAGGAUCCUCUUACUGUCACAAACAAUGCUGAAAGGGCUGGUGAUGAUCACACAGAAAUGAAAAAUGUAUGAUUUUGUUAAAAAAUGCAAAUGUUGCAGUCAGGCUGAUUGUGCAGGAGUGCAGCCAUUGUCACUGCUAACUCUAUGAAUAUUUCCCCUAAUAUUUUAGGACCCCUGUGCAAGACAGAUAAACAUGGAAGCAAGCCCC
Podarcis lilfordi (Lilford's wall lizard) is the source of this 35545-nucleotide non-coding RNA. Lineage: Eukaryota; Metazoa; Chordata; Lepidosauria; Squamata; Lacertidae. The record is from the annotation of a GenBank genome assembly.